Molecule: non-coding RNA, 204 nt
Organism: Pelobates cultripes (western spadefoot toad)
Lineage: Eukaryota; Metazoa; Chordata; Amphibia; Anura; Pelobatidae
Source: the annotation of a GenBank genome assembly
AUUCCUGGAAAUGGUCCACCCAUGUUUCAUAAAACUGGACUUAGGAUUUACAGACGGGUAGGGUCAUUAUAUUGCAUUCAGGUAUUAAAUAAGUUUUAAAUAGAAAUAGGUAAACCUCCCCAUUUCUCUAAAAUAUUUUUUGUAUCAUCUAGUGUUAAAAUUACCCUACAUCGGAACUAAGGGGCCUAUCUCAGCAAAUCCAAA